UACGUAGGCAGCAAGCGUUGUUCGGAAUUACUGGGCGUAAAGAGUGUGUAGGCGGUGUUCCAAGUCUGUUGUGAAAUCUCCCGGCUUAACUGGGAGGGUGCGGCGGAAACUGGGAUGCUAGAGGAUGGGAGAGGUAAGCGGAAUUCCUGGUGUAGCGGUGAAAUGCGUAGAUAUCAGGAGGAACACCUGCGGUGUAGACAGCUUACUGGACCAUUUCUGACGCUGAGACACGAAAGCGUGGGUAGCAAACAGG
RNAcentral lists this ribosomal RNA (253 nucleotides) under uncultured bacterium. RNAcentral describes it as "partial 16S ribosomal RNA". It matches the Rfam family "Bacterial small subunit ribosomal RNA", at positions 524 to 776 of the family's 1533-position model. The record is from RNAcentral.